Molecule: long non-coding RNA, 309 nt
Organism: Neltuma alba
Lineage: Eukaryota; Viridiplantae; Streptophyta; Magnoliopsida; Fabales; Fabaceae
Exons: 2
Source: RefSeq, a predicted model, not a curated record
GCACAACACUUCGGAUGACUGAUCUCGAAAGAAGGCGGAGCUUGACCUCCGAUGAGGUCCGAUUCCGUGGUGGUACCCUUGAAGUAAAGUUCGAUGGUCAGACCGCGGGUGAUUCUGGCUUGGGUAAAGGAAACUUGUACAGACACUGACAUGCCCCAAUCAAACAGACCCUUUAGCUCCGCCCUUUCGACGAGGGCUUCCUGAGGAUGAGAAAUUAUUACAAGAUUGCAAAUAUUAUUUUGUAUCUUAUUUUCCCUGUAUUGCAUUUUUUUUUAAUCUAAAACAACUUUAUAGCCUUGUUUUGCUGUA